This 2833-nucleotide ribosomal RNA is filed under the name Hyphomicrobiales bacterium. RNAcentral's name for it is "bacterial LSU rRNA". It matches the Rfam family "Bacterial large subunit ribosomal RNA". The record is from RNAcentral. Lineage: Bacteria; Pseudomonadati; Pseudomonadota; Alphaproteobacteria; Hyphomicrobiales.
UUAAGCGACUAAGCGUACACGGUGGAUGCCCUGGCAGUCAGAGGCGAUGAAGGGCGUGCUAAUCUGCGAUAAGCGCCGGUAAGGUGAUAUGAACCGCAAUAACCGGCGAUACCCGAAUGGGGAAACCCAGUGUGUUUCGACACACUAUCAUGCAGUGAAUACAUAGCUGUAUGAGGCGAACCGGGGGAACUGAAACAUCUAAGUACCCCGAGGAAAAGAAAUCAACCGAGAUUCCCCCAGUAGCGGCGAGCGAACGGGGAGGAGCCCAGAACCAUCAUCAGCUUGUGCAUCAGUGGAAGCGUCUGGAAAGUCGCAGGGUACAGGGUGAUACUCCCGUACACAAAGGUGCACAGGCUGUGAGUUCGAUGAGUAAGGCGGGACACGUGGUAUCCUGUCUGAAUAUGGGGGGACCAUCCUCCAAGGCUAAAUACUCCUGACUGACCGAUAGUGAACCAGUACCGUGAGGGAAAGGCGAAAAGAACCCCGGCGAGGGGAGUGAAACAGAACCUGAAACCGUGUACGUACAAGCAGUGGGAGCCUCUUUAUGGGGUGACUGCGUACCUUUUGUAUAAUGGGUCAGCGACUUAUAUUCUGUAGCAAGGUUAACCGCAUAGGGGAGCCGCAGGGAAACCGAGUCUUAACUGGGCGUUAAGUUGCAGGGUAUAGACCCGAAACCCGGUGAUCUAGCCAUGGGCAGGUUGAAGGUUGGGUAACACUAACUGGAGGACCGAACCGACUAAUGUUGAAAAAUUAGCGGAUGACCUGUGGCUGGGGGUGAAAGGCCAAUCAAACCGGGAGAUAGCUGGUUCUCCCCGAAAGCUAUUUAGGUAGCGCCUCGUGAACUCAUCUCCGGGGGUAGAGCACUGUUUCGGCUAGGGGGCCAUCCCGGCUUACCAACCCGAUGCAAACUGCGAAUACCGGAGAAUGUUAUCACGGGAGACACACGGCGGGUGCUAACGUCCGUCGUGAAGAGGGNNCCAGGAUGUUGGCUUAGAAGCAGCCAUCAUUUAAAGAAAGCGUAAUAGCUCACUGGUCGAGUCGGCCUGCGCGGAAGAUGUAACGGGGCUAAACCAUGCACCGAAGCUGCGGCAGCGACGCUUAUGCGUUGUUGGGUAGGGGAGCGUUCUGUAAGCCGUCGAAGGUGUGCUGUGAGGCAUGCUGGAGGUAUCAGAAGUGCGAAUGCUGACAUAAGUAACGAUAAACAAGGUGAAAAACCUUGUCGCCGGAAGACCAAGGGUUCCUGUUCAACGUUAAUCGGAGCAGGGUGAGUCGACCCCUAAGGCGAGGCCGAAAGGCGUAGUCGAUGGGAAACAGGUUAAUAUUCCUGUACUUGGUGUUACUGCGAAGGGGGGACGGAGAAGGCUAUAUCAGCCGGGCGACGGUUGUCCCGGUUUAAGCGUGUAGGUGUGUGUUCCAGGCAAAUCCGGUUCACUUUACACUGAGGCGUGACGACGAGGCACUACGGUGCUGAAGUGAUAAAUGCCCUGCUUCCAGGAAAAGCCUCUAAGCAUCAGGUAACACAAAAUCGUACCCCAAACCGACACAGGUGGUCAGGUAGAGUAUACCAAGGCGCUUGAGAGAACUCGGGUGAAGGAACUAGGCAAAAUGGUGCCGUAACUUCGGGAGAAGGCACGCUGGCGCGUAGGUGAAGGGACUUGCUCCCGGAGCCGAAGCCAGUCGAAGAUACCAGCUGGCUGCAACUGUUUAUUAAAAACACAGCACUGUGCAAACACGAAAGUGGACGUAUACGGUGUGACGCCUGCCCGGUGCCGGAAGGUUAAUUGAUGGGGUUAUCCGCAAGGAGAAGCUCUUGAUCGAAGCCCCGGUAAACGGCGGCCGUAACUAUAACGGUCCUAAGGUAGCGAAAUUCCUUGUCGGGUAAGUUCCGACCUGCACGAAUGGCGUAAUGAUGGCCAGGCUGUCUCCACCCGAGACUCAGUGAAAUUGAAAUCGCUGUGAAGAUGCAGUGUACCCGCGGCAAGACGGAAAGACCCCGUGAACCUUUACUACAGCUUGACACUGAACACUGAGCCUUGAUGUGUAGGAUAGGUGGGAGGCUUUGAAGCGUGGACGCCAGUCUGCGUGGAGCCGGCCUUGAAAUACCACCCUUUAAUGUUUGGUGUUCUAACGUAGGCCCGUAAUCCGGGCUGCGGACAGUGUCUGGUGGGUAGUUUGACUGGGGCGGUCUCCUCCCAAAGCGUAACGGAGGAGCACGAAGGUUGGCUAAUCCUGGUCGGACAUCAGGAGGUUAGUGCAAUGGCAUAAGCCAGCUUGACUGCGAGAGUGACGGCUCGAGCAGGUGCGAAAGCAGGUCAUAGUGAUCCGGUGGUUCUGAAUGGAAGGGCCAUCGCUCAACGGAUAAAAGGUACUCCGGGGAUAACAGGCUGAUACCGCCCAAGAGUUCAUAUCGACGGCGGUGUUUGGCACCUCGAUGUCGGCUCAUCACAUCCUGGGGCUGAAGUAGGUCCCAAGGGUACGGCUGUUCGCCGUUUAAAGUGGUACGCGAGCUGGGUUUAGAACGUCGUGAGACAGUUCGGUCCCUAUCUGCCGUGGGCGCUGGAGAAUUGAGGGGGGUUGCUCCUAGUACGAGAGGACCGGAGUGAACGCACCGCUGGUGUCCGGGUUGUCACGCCAGUGGCACUGCCCGGUAGCUAAGUGCGGAAAAGAUAAGUGCUGAAAGCAUCUAAGCACGAAACUUGCCCCGAGAUGAGUUCUCCCUGAGCCUUUAAGGCUCCUGAAGGGACGUUGAAGACGACGACGUUGAUAGGCCGGGUGUGUAAGCGCAGCGAUGCGUUGAGCUUACCGGUACUAAUGACCCGUGAGGCUUAACCUU